GACGAACGCUGGCGGCGUGCUUAACACAUGCAAGUCGAACGGUGAAGCCCCAGCUUUCUGGAGUGGAUCAGUGGCGAACGGGUGAGUAACACGUGAGCAACCUGCCCCUGACUCUGGAAUAAGCGCUGGAAACGGCGUCUAAUACUGGAUACGAGAAGGGUCCGCAUGGGCACUUUCUGGAAAGUUUUUCGGUUGGGGAUGGGCUCGCGGCCUAUCAGCUUGUUGGUGGGGUAAUGGCUCACCAAGGCGACGACGGGUAGCCGGCCUGAGAGGGCGACCGGCCACACUGGGACUGAGACACGGCCCAGACUCCUACGGGAGGCAGCAGUGGGGAAUAUUGCACAAUGGGCGGAAGCCUGAUGCAGCGACGCCGCGUGAGGGAUGACGGCCUUCGGGUUGUAAACCUCUUUCGGCAGGGAAGAAGCGAGAGUGACGGUACCUGCAGAAGAAGCACCGGCUAACUACGUG
Molecule: ribosomal RNA, 468 nt
Filed under: uncultured bacterium
Lineage: Bacteria
Description: partial 16S ribosomal RNA
Rfam family: Bacterial small subunit ribosomal RNA
Source: RNAcentral